Non-coding RNA from Meleagris gallopavo (turkey), 4443 nucleotides. NCBI's taxonomy places the organism in Eukaryota, Metazoa, Chordata, Aves, Galliformes, Phasianidae. The record is from RefSeq and is a predicted model, not a curated record.
CAGAGCUGAGUACAGAGGGAUGAUCACUUCCCUGCUCCUGCUGGUCUGAUACAAGCCAGGAUGCCAUGGGCCUUUUUGGCCACUUGGACUCACUGCUGUCUCACAUUCAGCUGAGCACUGACCAACAUCUCCAGAUCCUUUUUCUCUGCACAGCCUUCCAGCCACUCUGACCCAAGCCCGUAGCAUUGUAUGGAGUUGUUGUGAACUGGUUGGAAGGCCUCUAAAACAGAAGAUUAAUGAAGAUUAUAAAGACAGACCCAGGGUUUCUGCUCCUGUUCCCAUCAUAGCACAUUCCUGCUUGUGUUCCUGCCAAGUGCCAGAUUCCUCCCCACAGAAGGUAGCCAUGGGGAUCCAGGUGAAGUCUGGGCUGUACCACCUGACCAAGUGACCUCUGAGAAGUCCAACAGCUGUACUGCAUCCAGAUGUUCUGAUUCUCGUACCAGUUACGAGCCCGAUUUCUUCCUCCUGUUUUGCAAUCAUAUUCAUUGUCUGUUAAUCUGAAUGCAACGUCCUGUGAAGUUGGAACUGUCUGCCAAGUGUGGAAGAGAACACGGAUCUCCUGAGCUUGACAGUGGUGUAAUUAUUGUAGGGGUUGUUGGUAAAGACCUUCAAAGCUAUAAGAGACCAGAGAGAGUUUUGUAAAUCCUAGGACUUAAAAGUGCUGUAUGGAACUUCUGUCUAAGUUGCAAUGAAGAUUUUCAUGUUAUCAGACAAGGAGAUGACAUGUCAGCAGUCUCUGGUUUUCACAUUAUCAAUGUUAACCCCCAGAUGGUAAUACUAGGGCUACCACAAACAUCCUAAUGGUAGUCAUUCAAUGGAAUGGGCAACUUGCUAUUUCAAUAGGGAAAUGAGACCAGGCAGUGUUGGGAAACUUGUCCGAGGUCAUGCAGAGGAGACAACUGGGACAUUGUUCUCCAAUGCUGAAGUUUUGGCCUUUUCUACUUUCUGCCCCAAGCAUGGCUUCUUCUUUUGACCCCAUAGUCCCCUCAGCUGGAGCAGAGAAGGAUUGCUCUAGUGAGGAGAUGAAGAAAGAAAUGUUAUUUCACUGAGCAAUGUCAGGAAAUGAUAGGGGAAGAAGAAACACAGGACAGGCAGAAGGAAUCCAGCUGUCUGCUUCUGGGGAGUAAGCAUCUCUUCAUAGUUUUGAGGCUGCUUUCAGGAUUCACGAUUCAGCUUUCAAGCUGGUUGUUGAUGGUUAGGAUGUUUUCAUUUUGACUUCAGCUGUUGACGAGACGGUAAGAGCCUUGAGAGGACUCCUAUCUCUCCAUCGCGUAUGACUAAUUGUGUUGAGACAGCCAUAGGUACGAUAACAGUUCUAUUUUUCUCUAGAACAACUCCAUUACAGACCUCCUGGUAGCGGAGCCCCAGCAAGUGUUUUGCAGGAGUUUUGCUGAUUGUGCAGCACAGAUAACCUGUAAGUGAGUAAACAUGGAAAGCGUUGAAUAUUCAGCCCAGCGUGAGACACUCAGAAACCAGAAGCAGGCUUGUUUUACUGCUUGUCUCAACUUAAGCUUUUAACUGUGUGUUGUGAGUGCUUUUCAGGAAACUGCCUUGUCUGAGACACGUCACUGGGCAGUGAAGUGCUCUGCUUCAGGGACAGCCAGCAGGAGCACUGUGAAAGGCCGGAAACCAAGUCUAGACAAGGGCAGGAUUUCUGGUGGCUUUGCGUUUCACUACGGUGCUCCUUGUGUUCUCCUUGGACACCACAAGUCAAUCCAUGCAAAAUAGGGACUCGCACUGUGCUUCGUUUCAGAGGGAUCCAGUGAAUUAACAUAUUGUUGCUGCUACUUUGGUAAUUGCAUGCCCAGGGUCUGCUCUGCUCCGACUCAGUCUGCCUGGCUUUCCAGACAGAAACCAUCCUUCUCCUCUAUCAAACAAGGCUGCAAAGUAUUGCCUGGAAACAUUGCUUCAACGAAGGAGGACAGAGUGGGAGGAGGAGGGGAAGACUGUUUCCAAAGGCACAACUGGCUCCAAGACCUCGCUUCUCCAGGAGAAAGAGGUGGUAGGGGUUUUAAUCUUAUUUUUGUACCAAGAUACUAAUUUUAACUUAAGCUGUGGUUUCUCUUGCUGUUUUGUACAGGGUACAGUUGCAGAAAUUUAGGCCAGCACAAGUCACUACGGGGGCUCAAUAUGUAGGAAGCUGCUUUAAAUUAGCUAGCCUGGGUUACACAGGAGUUUCGACAGAAGUUGAAACUGAGUAAUCUGAUACCCUUUUCUGUACUAAAAAUAAAAAUCUCUGAGCAGAUAAGUAUAAAAAUGCUUAUUGGUCUCACUUCCAAGUAUAAAAACCUAUAUGCGGAACCCUUAGAGCCUUCUAAGGCCUUGUGAGAAUAGACCACAUCGCAAAGCAAGUUAGCGAGUGUAUUUUCAAAGUCAGACUAGUGUCAAUGUAGAUGCAGUUUUGCAUUGUUAAAAGGUGUUAUUUGGUCAUGAAUGACUUCUGAAUGGCAUCCCUUCAGCUUUGGUCUCUUAAAGGAAGUGUGGUUACAUGCAGUGUUAGUAGGGCAGCUUUGCCCCCUAACACAGAAGGCAUGAAGAGGGCAGGGAGCAUCAAGACACUGGGAAAAAAGGGAAGCUUGACUUUGUUGCAGACCUCGUGGAUGACCUCUGGCAAGCAAAUGAACCUUUCCUCAUCCAUUCCUUCCUCUCUUGCCUACCCCUCCAUGUGAUGGUUGCUUCAUUGUUGGUAUGGAUUCUUCUAAGAAGUGGCAGUUCAGCAGCUCUGUCUGUAAGGUUCCUUUUCAUCUCCUUGGUUGUGACAUUUCCUGUCCCUUAGCCACGUGCGUUAUUUUGACUAGAAGCAAAGGAUUGCUCCAACACCUUUCAUUACACAAGGGCUGGAGAAUGGGGGAGGGUCAUGCUGGUGCUGGUGGCUCAUUGCACACCAGAGUAUUGCAACUGGUGGACCAGAGGGAAGGGUUUUUGAGACGUCUUGAUUGUGUGUAUUAGAAAUUGCAGCCUCGGGAAUUACUGAGAAUCUUUUUAUAGCUGAUGCUAUAUACUGGGCUUAGGAAAUCCUGUUUAUUCUGUAAAUAUGUGUGUUUGAGGGAGUAGGAGGAGCUGUGACUGCUCUCUAACUGCUGUUUGUGUGCUACAGAUUGGACACCAACAUAGGUUCCUUGGCUACUGCUUCCCAAACUGCUCCUUCCAAAUAGAGAUGGGCAGUUUGCGGGUCAUGGUGGGACUGGAGGCAGAAGUGGGAUUUAUUAUGUCCUGAGAGGAAUGUAAGUUGUGAUGCUGAGGAUGUAUCUUUUAGGGCCUUCAAGAAGGAAACCUAAUCUAUCCUGAAGAUCUUAUAGCUUAUGUCCAGAGAAAGUGUGAGGGAAGAGCAGACAGAAAGUGAUUAUCAUGCCUUUUGAUUAACAUGGCUUGGUUGUCUUUGUGAUGUACCUCCUGGACUUGAGUUAUGGUUGUUUUUCUCAGUGUUUUGCUUGGAUAAUAUCUUAGUGCUUGAGUCCUGAAUGAUCCCCAUCCUUUCUUCCGAAGUCUAUGCACUGGUAGCAUUUGUAAGACGAAUUGUAGGACUGCAGGAUAAAAGUCUGAAAGGGAUCUAGGAGGUUUCUUGCCAUACCUGUGCAGAGCAGGGUCGGAUGUGACAUUAGGCCAAGUUACGUAUGACUUCAGUGUAGUCUUGAAAACCUCCAGGAAUGGGAAGUGCACAGCAAGCUCCACAUAAAAAAAGCUUUUCCCAACUUCCAGUCUGAACCUCUUGUUUCAAGUAUAUUGUCUCUCGUUUUUCUGCUCAACACCACAGUGAAGAGCCCAGCUGUCUUCUCAGUCCCAUCCCAGAAGCUUUGUGAGCUGCUGCUAGCGCCCUCAAAGGUGUUCUUUCUCCUGGAUAAAUGAACUCAAUGCCUUCAGCCUCUUUGGGCAAGUCUGCCUACAUGGGACAGCCUGGUCUUCUCAACUGAACUCUAAUUUGUCCGUCUUUUUUUUUUCUGGCUUCUAAUGACAUGAAGCUUUUCAGAGGCAGGGGUCAAACCCCGGCAGAUAAAAUGAUGAACUGAAUUCUGCAGAAAAAUGCAAAGAUGUGCAUUUUUAGAAUUAUGAUUGUCUCACUUACUCAUCUGUAAAGCAAGCUUUUACUUGCCUCUGCUCUUUCUGUGGAGCUCUGACUGAUGAUGGUUCUGGAGUGCUAAGAUGAGUGUUACAAAUGCAAAGCAUGAUCGAACUUUGCUUACUGUGUUUACUGCUCUGGAGGAAGCACCAUUCCUGGUAGCCAUGUAUACAGGAAUUAUAUGUGUAUAUAUAUGUACAUAUGCCAUAUUGAAACACAAUACACAAAAUUUCAUUUUAUGCUGCCAAUAGUUAGUGUGUGAGAGCUUGAGAGGGCACCAGCAACCUAUAUUCUUUAAGAUCCAAGAGCCUUGGGAAAAGAUCCAUUUUUUUAUAUUGUACUAAUUUCAAAGAUGCUGGGUUUUAGUCCAACAAAGUUUAAAAAAA